UAGUAACCAAAAGUGUUAAACAUAUCAGAAUAUAUUUUAUAUGAAACAUUUUCAAAGUAGCCACCCUAAGUAAAGAGAAACGACAGUCCAUCAUUACUUUAAGACAUGAAGGUCAGUCAAUGCGGAACAUUUCAAGAAUUUGAACGUUUCUUCAAGUACCGUUGCAAAAAGCCAUCAAGCACUAUGGCGAUACUGGCUCUCAUGACGACCGCCACAGGAAAGGAAGACCCAGAGUUACCUCUGCUGCAGAGGAUAAAUUCAUUAGAGUUAACUGCUCCUCAGAUUGCAGCCCAAAUAAAUGCUUCACAGAGUUCACAUAACAGCCACAUCUCAACAUCAACUGUUCAGAGGAGACUGCAUGAAUCAGGCCUUCAUGGUUGAAUUGUUACAAAGAAAACACUACUAAAGGACACCAAUAAGAAUAAGAGACUUGCUUGGGCCAAGAAACACGAGCAAUGGACAUUAGACCGGUGGAAAUCUAUCCUUUGGUCUGAUGAGUCCAAAUUUGAGAUUUUUGGUUCCAACCACCGUAUCUUUGUGAGAGACACAGAGUAGGUGAACGGAAGAUCUCUGCAUGUGUGGUUCCCACAGUGAAUGUAGGAGGAGGUGUGAUGGUGUGGGUGUGCUUUGCUGGUGACUGUCAGUGAUUUAUUUAGAAUUCAAGGCUCAUUUAACCAGUAUGGCUACCACAGCAUUCUGCAGCGAUACGCCAUCCCAUCUGGUUUGCGUUUAGUGGGACGAUCAUUUAUUUUUCAACAGGACAAUGACCCAACACACCUCCAGGCUGUGUAAGGGCUAUUUCACCAAGAUGGAGAGUGAUGUAGUGCUGCAUCAGAUGACCUGGCCUCCAUAAUCACCCGACCUCAACCCAAUUGAGAUGGUUUGGGAUGAAUUGGACCGCUGAGUGAAGGAAAAGCAGCCAACAAGUGCUCAGCAUAUGCGGGAACUCCUUCAAGACUGUUGGAAAAGCAUUCCAGGUGAAGCUGGUUGAGAGAAUGCCAAGAGUGUGCAAAGUUGUCAUCAAGGCAAAGGGUGGCUACUUUGAAGAAUCUAAACUAUAUUUUGAUUUGUUUAACACUUUUUUAGUUACUACAUGAUUCCAUAUGUGUUAUUUCAAAGUGUUGAUGUCUUCACUAUUAUUCUACAAUGUAGAAAAUAGUAAAAAUAAAGAAAACCUUUGAAUGACUAGUACUGUACAUUUUAAAGUGAAAAAGUGCUCAGAAUCACUCUGUACCGUGGAAUUUCCCUACUUGCUCGGCUCAGUCCAGUCCCACAUCCUGUGUUAUCAUUUAUUUGGCAACAUUCUUUUCCAUAUUUGCAUUUUUUGAUAUAGCCACAGCAGUCUUAAAAUGUACUGUUACCUUGAAUGCAAUAUUUAAGAUGUUAAAACAUUUAAACUCCAAUUGAACUCUGGGACAUUUCCUGACAUCUUAUUUUCCUCUCUCUCUCUCACUCCAGUUGUUCUCAAGAGACAGAUCAGUGUGUGUAGAGAACACAUUUGACAAGGUAGAGUUAGGUUUCUACUCAGGAAACAGGUCAGUGUGUGUAGAGAGAACACAUUUGACGAGGUAGAGUCAGGUUUCUACUCAGGAAACAGGUCAGUGUGUGUAGAGAACACAUUUGACGAGGUAGAGUCAGGCUUCUACUUCAUCGCCUUGGACCACUACACCAACGAGGCAGAGGACACCAAGUUUGGACCAAACCUGGAGAUCUUCACUGGUUCUGAGGGAGGUGAUGUGGCCACAAACAGUGCCUGGGACAUCUUCCAGUGCUACCACUGUCUGGAGAACUGCCAGAGGGUGGUAAAGACAUCUGACUGGAGAACAGCCAGAGGGUGGUCAAGACAUCUGACUGGAGAACAGCCAGAAGGUGGUCAAGACAUCUGACUGGAGAACAGCCAGAAGGUGGUCAAGACAUCUGACUGGAGAACAGCCAGAAGGUGGUCAAGACAUCUGACUGGAGAACAGCCAGAAGGUGGUCAAGACAUCUGACUGGAGAACAGCCAGAGGGUGGUCAAGACAUCUCCUGCUACUUCAUCUUAAUUGUGUCAGCUCUGCUGCACCUGAGCGCUAAAGGUGGCUCUGGCUUGCUGAUAACAUCUGAUCUGAUGAGACUCUUUAUGCAGUUUGACUGAUUUUAUUCAAUAAAGCUUCCAAUGCCAAAUUGAAAUAAUUUGAGAUUCUGUAAUUGAUAGACAAUAGUAGUUCCCAAUCACAUAAUUACUAUAAAACAAAUGUUUUCCUCAGUUCACUGUUUGGUGACUGCAUGGUGUUGUUUUGUCCUCAGUCCUCCUUUGAAUGCUGUGUGUACUGAUUCAGUUCUAAACGACCAUCAUGGAGUCCAUCCUCACCUCCUCCAUCACUGCAACGGAUUGUCAGGUCUGCUGAGAGGGUCAUUGGUUGCAACCUGCAUUCCAUCAAGGUCUUUCAUGACUCCAGGGCAAGGAAGCGUGCACGAAAGAUCAUCGCCGAUCCCUUCCAUCCCAUCUUCCAAAGACUCCCCUCUGGCAAACGGUUCAGGUCAUUCACAAACAAAACCUCCCACCACCUGAACAGUUUCUUCCCCGUGCCGUGGCCCUCACCAACCGUCCACACUCUGCAUUAUUCAUUCACGACUAUGCACCUUGCACUAUCAUCCCAGAACUGAGCAUUGCUCUUUGCACAUCUCUUACAUGCAGAAUUUAGAACGUUGAUUAUUUAGAAUGUCGAUUAUUUCGCGUUCAUAGUGUACAUACUGUAUGUUUCAGAGUCAGAUUCCUAUACAUGCAAAUGUAUUUGGAAUUUAAAG
Long non-coding RNA from Oncorhynchus keta (chum salmon), 2787 nucleotides. RefSeq lists it as uncharacterized. Lineage: Eukaryota; Metazoa; Chordata; Actinopteri; Salmoniformes; Salmonidae. The record is from RefSeq and is a predicted model, not a curated record. The transcript is spliced from 3 exons.